CCAGGGCUUCUGCUGGCCCUCUUGCGUAAGAUUUCCCAAGUCCGCUUCCUCCUGCACCCGGCCCUCGGACAGCGCAUCUGAAUAGGCCGCCCCUCUGCUUCAGGUCCUCCCGUGUGCCUGGCGCCGACGGUAUGUCCCCUUCUCCACGUGGCCAUUUAGCACCGCGCGCUGACGCUGCGAGCCUUUGAGUCCCACCGUGGGGACAGACGGACCCGGCGGGCCAAGGAGAAGGCGAGUGCGAGGACUCUCCUGAGGCGGGGUCCCAGCACCGUGACCACGGGGUCCCCGGAGCAGCGCACUGCCCUGACACAGCCCUCCCAGGCGAAUGGCUCACUUGGGUCCUGGGGCCAACCCCGGACUGACCGAGCUCUCCGGGGCCCAGAAUGAAGCCAGCGCCUCCAAGGUCUUCCCGCUUGACCGGCCCACAGGCAGGGGCAGGGGAGCCCUGGCCGCAGGUGGCGCCCUCGCCUGCUCUCCUCUCCUUCCCCUCGUCCCUCCCCUCCCCUUCCCUCCUCUCCUCCUGCCCCCUUUCCUCCUCCCCUCUCCGCCCCUCCCGGCGACUCCUCCAAGUCCAGCCCCUUUCUGCUCGCAGGCUCCUCCCCACGAAGGAGACCUUGCCCUCCUCCACCUGCGACUCGUGCUGCAGCUUGCAGGGCUGUUGUUGAGCGUUCCCUGCAUAAUUCGAAUGUUAUUUGCUAAAAGAACAUAAACUGUUCACUGCUGCGA
This is a long non-coding RNA of Diceros bicornis minor, 726 nucleotides long. RefSeq lists it as uncharacterized. The record is from RefSeq and is a predicted model, not a curated record. NCBI's taxonomy places the organism in Eukaryota, Metazoa, Chordata, Mammalia, Perissodactyla, Rhinocerotidae. The transcript is spliced from 2 exons.